CACGGAGUUAGCCGAUGCUUAUUCGACGCAUACUCUCAUCGGAACACGCGUGUCCCUUAUUGCUCUGCGUCAAAAGAAGUUUACGACCCAUAGGGCCUUAAUCCUUCACGCGGCAUGGCUGGAUCAGGCUUCCGCCCAUUGUCCAAUAUCCCUCACUGCUGCCUCCCGUAGGAGUCUGGGCCGUGUCUCAGUCCCAGUGUGGGGGGCCUUCCUCUCAGAACCCCUAGACAUCGUCGCCUCGGUGGGCCGUUGCCCCACCGACUAGCUAAUGUCACGCGAACCUAUCAGACACCGCAUAAAUGCUUUCAAUCAACAUGGAUGCCCAUGUCAAUGUUAUGGAAUAUUAGACGACGUUUCCGACGAUUAUCCCCCUGUGUCCGGCAAGUUGUUCACGCGUUACGCACCCGUUCGCCGGUCGCCGACAAUGGUAUUGCUACCAUCUCGUUGCCCCUCGACUUGCAUGUGUUAGGCCUGCCGCUAGCGUUCAU
RNAcentral lists this ribosomal RNA (488 nucleotides) under uncultured Bacteroidota bacterium. Its description in RNAcentral is "uncultured Bacteroidetes bacterium partial 16S ribosomal RNA". Lineage: Bacteria; Pseudomonadati; Bacteroidota. The record is from RNAcentral.